AGAGUUUGAUCCUGGCUCAGGACGAACGCUGGCGGCGUGCUUAACACAUGCAAGUCGAGCGGUAAGGCCCCUUCGGGGGUACACGAGCGGCGAACGGGUGAGUAACACGUGAGCAACCUACCUCCAACUCUGGGAUAAGCCCGGGAAACCGGGUCUAAUACCGGAUAUCAUCUCCAUCCUCCUGGGUGGGGGUUGAAAGUUCUGGCGGUUGGGGAUGGGCUCGCGGCCUAUCAGCUUGUUGGUGGGGUAAUGGCCUACCAAGGCUUCGACGGGUAGCCGGCCUGAGAGGGCGACCGGCCACACUGGGACUGAGACACGGCCCAGACUCCUACGGGAGGCAGCAGUGGGGAAUAUUGGACAAUGGGCGCAAGCCUGAUCCAGCCAUGCCGCGUGGAUGAUGAAGGCCCUAGGGUUGUAAAGUCCUUUCGGCGGGGAAGAUAAUGACGGUACCCGCAGAAGAAGCCCCGGCUAACUUCGUGCCAGCAGCGGCGGUAAUUC
RNAcentral lists this ribosomal RNA (498 nucleotides) under uncultured bacterium. RNAcentral's name for it is "bacterial SSU rRNA". It matches the Rfam family "Bacterial small subunit ribosomal RNA", at positions 8 to 526 of the family's 1533-position model. The record is from RNAcentral.